CAGAGGUGGCAAGCGUUGUUCGGAAUUACUGGGCGUAAAGGGCGCGUAGGCGGCCUUGUGAGUCAGACGUGAAAUCCCCAGGCUUAACUUGGGAACUGCGUCUGAUACUGCAAGGCUCGAGUGCGGGAGAGGGAUGUGGAAUUCCAGGUGUAGCGGUGAAAUGCGUAGAUAUCUGGAGGAACACCGGUGGCGAAGGCGGCAUCCUGGACCGACACUGACGCUGAGGCGCGAAAGCUAGGGGAGCAAACGGGAUUAGAUACCCCCGGUAGUCCUAGCCCUAAACGAUGAGUGCUUGGUGUGGCGGGUAUCGAUCCCUGCCGUGCCGAAGCUAACGCAUUAAGCACUCCGCCUGGGGAGUACGGUCGCAAGGCUG
Molecule: ribosomal RNA, 373 nt
Filed under: uncultured organism
Description: bacterial SSU rRNA
Rfam family: Bacterial small subunit ribosomal RNA
Source: RNAcentral